CCUCCGCUAUCCCAGAAUGCCCCGGAUCCCGGAAGUACCUGGCUUCCCGGAAGUGCCCGACUGGGUGACAGAGCCCAGGCUGGUUGGACAGCUGCCGCUGGAGGGUUGCUGUUCUGGGGCGUGGGUGGCUGCAGGACGUGCGGCUCGGGGUAGGGGUGGGCGCCGGGAGGGAGCUGGGCGGCAGGAUGAUGGAGGAGGAGGAACUGGAGUUCGUGGAGGAGCUGGAAGCCGUGCUGCAGCUCACGCCCGACGUGCAGCUCGCCAUCGAGCAGGUAUUUCCAAGCCAGGAUCCUCUAGAUCGAGCAGAUUUCAAUGCUGUGGAGUAUAUCAACACCCUGUUCCCAACAGAGCAAUCUCUGGCAAACAUCGAUGAAGUUGUGAACAAAAUUAGACUGAAAAUAAGGAGACUGGAUGACAGCAUUCGAACUGUUGUAAGAGGUCAAACAAAUGUGGGGCAGGAUGGCCGGCAAGCACUUGAAGAGGCCCAGAAAGCGAUUCAGCAACUCUUUGGAAAAAUCAAAGACAUCAAGGACAAAGCAGAAAAAUCGGAGCAAAUGGUGAAGGAAAUCACCCGCGACAUCAAGCAGUUAGAUCACGCCAAACGCCACCUGACCACCUCGAUCACGACGCUGAACCACCUGCACAUGCUGGCGGGCGGCGUUGAUUCCCUCGAAGCCAUGACCAGGAGAAGGCAGUAUGGAGAAGUUGCUAAUCUUCUUCAGGGCGUAAUGAAUGUUCUGGAGCACUUCCACAAAUAUAUGGGAAUUCCACAGAUCCGGCAGCUUUCUGAAAGAGUGAAGGCUGCCCAGACCGAGUUAGGACAGCAAAUCCUGGCCGAUUUCGAAGAAGCAUUUCCUUCCCAGGGUACCAAGAGGCCAGGAGGACCCAGCAAUGUCCUACGAGAUGCUUGUCUGGUUGCUAAUAUUUUGGACCCCAGAAUCAAGCAGGAAAUCAUCAAAAAGUUUAUUAAACAGCAUCUGUCAGAGUAUCUAGUACUUUUUCAAGAAAACCAAGAUGUUGCCUGGCUGGACAAAAUUGACCGGCGCUAUGCCUGGAUCAAGCGCCAGCUUGUGGACUACGAGGAGAAAUACGGCAGGAUGUUCCCGCGAGAGUGGUACAUGGCGGAGAGGAUUGCGGUAGAAUUUUGCCACGUCACAAGGACAGAACUGGCCAAGAUCAUGCGUACCAGAGCUAAGGAAAUUGAAGUGAAAUUGCUUCUCUUUGCUAUUCAGAGAACGACUAACUUUGAGGGGUUUCUUGCAAAACGCUUCUCCGGGUGUACCCUGACAGAUGGAACUCUGAAAAAACUCGAGUCUCCACUCGCAUCCACCAAUCCCUUCCUAGAAGAUGAGCCAGCACCAGAGAUGGAGGAACUGGCAAUGGAAAAAGGAGACGUAGAGCAACCAAAGAAGCCUAAAGCCCCAGACAAUCCAUUUCACGGCAUUGUUUCCAAGUGUUUUGAGCCUCAUCUCUACGUGUAUAUUGAGUCCCAGGACAAAAACCUUGGGGAGCUGAUAGAUCGGUUCGUGGCCGAUUUCAAAGCCCAGGGGCCACCUAAGCCCAACACGGACGAGGGGGGCGCCGUGCUCCCCAGCUGCGCCGACCUCUUUGUCUACUACAAGAAGUGCAUGGUGCAGUGCUCGCAGCUCAGUACCGGGGAGCCGAUGAUCGCCCUGACCACUAUUUUCCAGAAGUACCUCCGAGAGUAUGCCUGGAAAAUCCUCUCUGGCAACCUGCCCAAAACCACAAGCAGCGGCGGUGGGUUGACCAUCAGCAGCCUCCUCAAGGAAAAGGAGGGCUCAGAAGUGGCCAAGUUCACCCUGGAGGAGCUCUGCCUCAUCUGCAGCAUCCUGAGCACUGCAGAGUACUGCUUGGCCACCACCCAGCAGCUGGAAGAGAAACUCAAGGAGAAGGUCGACAUAAGUCUGACUGAACGAAUCAAUCUGACUGGAGAAAUGGACACAUUCAGCACUGUCAUCUCCAGCAGCAUUCAGCUGUUGGUUCAGGAUCUCGAUGCUGCCUGUGACCCCGCCCUGACAGCCAUGAGCAAGAUGCAGUGGCAGAAUGUGGAGCAUGUUGGUGACCAGAGCCCCUACGUCACCUCUGUCAUUCUUCACAUUAAACAGAACGUCCCCAUCAUCCGUGACAACCUGGCUUCCACGCGGAAAUACUUCACACAGUUCUGCAUUAAAUUUGCAAACUCCUUCAUUCCCAAGUUCAUCACCCACCUCUUCAAGUGCAAGCCAAUUAGCAUGGUGGGAGCAGAACAGCUGCUGCUGGACACCCACUCCCUGAAGAUGGUCCUGCUCGAUCUGCCUUCCAUCGGCUCUCAGGUGGUGAGGAAAGCCCCAGCCAGUUACACAAAGAUCGUGGUGAAAGGCAUGACCCGAGCGGAGAUGAUCCUCAAGGUCGUGAUGGCCCCUCACGAGCCGUUGGUGGUGUUUGUGGACAACUACAUCAAACUCCUGACGGACUGCAACACAGAAACCUUCCAGAAGAUCCUGGACAUGAAGGGGCUGAAAAGGAGCGAGCAGAGCAGCAUGCUGGAUCUCUUCCGCCAGAGGCUCCCCGCGCCGCCCUCAGGGCCCGAAGGCUCCAGCUCUCUGUCCCUCCUGGCUCCAACUCCAGAACAGGAGUCAUCUCGCAUCCGCAAACUGGAGAAACUAAUUAAAAAGAGACUGUAGGAGCGUCCAAGGGGCACUUUUCCCCCAGCCAGUGACAGCCCCCCCCACCAGCACCCAGAUCUCCGGAAGCCCCCCACCUCUCCUGUGCUUCCCCGACUCUCAGAUCAUCAGUCUUGAAACUUGCUGGGGCGUUUGGGUCAUUCACAUGUUUCUCCCAUGUCCUGUCUUAAUUCCUGUCCUAAUCGGAGAAGACGGGUAACAGCCAGAUUAUAAAAAGGCAGUCAAGAUGGUCCCUGAUUCCUGCAGCAGAGGCAGCUGGGGGUGAAGGUUCCGUGUGCUUCACUUGCUGGUCCCGGGCUGCCCCCGACUGGUCCAGUUGUCGCUGACUCUGUAGCCUCACCCCCGCAGUCACACCCUCUGGCAUGUGGUCCUGUUCCUUUCCAUGCUUCUAUCCCAGCACCGUGGGUGAGAAAGCCUGGAACUCACCCCUUCCUCCACAUGCAGCCGUGUGAGGUUCCCUCUGCGGCCGGACCCUUAAGAGAUGUCGUCUGGGCUUGGCUCUAGGGCCCAAGUUAUGAACUGGAAGAUUACAGGUGUGACGGAAGAAAGAGACUUCCUGAUUGCUCGUUAGAGGUGCCCAGGCUGGAGAAAGUUCUGUUUGGAUCAUAACAGGGAAAUGGGAACCACCAUGGACGGGGUGUUUUGACCUCCAAGUUCCGUUCUGGAAUUGAAGCUAACUAACUGUUGCCACGCCUCCCUCUCUUGAAGAACAAAGACCCAGUACCUGGGGCUUUCCCAGGAAAGGGCACCGACUUUCUCAUGCCUCGGGCAGCUCCUCGGUGCAGGUGGAACAGGACCGAAAGCAGACGUCCAAGGACCAAUAAAACAGAACAGGCUAUGGGAAAGAAUUAGCGAGCCCGUGAAGCCCGGGCUCCCCUCUCAGCAUCUGCCCUUCUGCCUGGUGAAGAUGCGCCCAUUCCCUGACAGCACGAAACCAGAAUGUGAUGUUCCUCAGCGAGGUCCCGGCAUGUCCGGCGGUGGUGGAAACCCUCUGUAAAUAGCUCCAAUCACAGCCUGCUUCUCCAUGUGACUGCCAGAGGCCUUCUGUCCUGUGCACACUCACCACUUCGAUAGGGUAGCCAGAAAUCCGUCUGAUGAGAAAAGAAACAUUUCCGUAUACCCCACCCAGAAGAACGCUGCCAGAUGAUUGACCCACCAGGCUCUCUUCUUUCUCGCAUACAUAACCAGGUAAGUAGAGGGAUAUAAAGAAUGUUUGAAACAAAAGCAGUUUUCAGAAUCCAUGAAAGGGGGCGGGGGGGGGUGCGUGUAAUUAACAGGGCAGUGAAGGUCACACAAGAGCCAGCUGUGCGCACGCUCUGUCAGCCACGAGGCCGUGUGAAAUGUGACCUGCUCCUCACCACUCGCCAGGCCUCAGCCCCAAGUGGGUGGCCACAGCGCUUGCUCUGUCCCUGGGCUCACUUGGAAAGGAUGGGCACGUGACGACACAGCCUGCUGCUGGGUGCAGGCCGCAUCUGAAGCAAGCACCGGAAUACGGAGCCUUUGCGUUUUUAGGUCUGCCGCCUGGGAUAUCCAGCUUACUCAAGCGUUUUAAAGACGCUCCAUCCUCUGUUCCCCUUGCCCCAGCAGCUGCUAUUUCCGUAGCAUUUAGGGAUAAACCUGCAGACACUGAGAAAAGAGCUUCCUCCCUCCCCGGUGGUGUUGGCUGGACUGCCUGUUACGGAAAAUGUGGCACAUUUCCUCUGAAUGCAAAUUAGAAGGAUUGCCAAAGGCUGCUUUCCAAAAAACAUGUCUUUAGAAAUGGUGUCUGGUGUCCACAGAACCGAUUUCAACUGGCCAGUCCUGGCAGGGACAAAAUUCUUGCCUGCACUCUUUUUUUUUUUUUUUUUGACCUUCAAUGCCCAGAAAAUGCUAAGCGAGAUUAUCUUGGGACAGGCAGACCUAACAGGGAAGCCAGAAGUUCACCAGCUAUUCGGAUUACUUCACAGUUGCCUUUCAAAGAUGAUUCCCAGGGCCAGUGGAAUCCCUGUAAUCAGCUGAAAAGUACCUGCCUGGCUCUUCCAAUCCCCUCUGGGGAUAUCGAUACAGAGAAUGCUGGGCGAUAAGAGUGAUACAGAGGAAAAGCUGUGUACAUUCUUUGUCCCCUAAGAAUGUUUAUCACUUAAUCUGAGAGCUCUGGUGGCCUCUGCUCAGCAACAAAUAGAAUUUGCAUAAUCGCUGGUGCGAUCCUGCUUGGGGUAAUUCUUCAACACGUGAGAAAUUAAGAACAGCUUCUCAACAUAACUUCCCUUUACUUCUGGGGCCAUGAAAAGCAUUUACCAAGUAGGCUGCAACUUUCAGGAGCACCAGGUGAAGUGGUGGAGAGAAACUCCAGCUUCUGCUUGGUUGCUUUGUGCUGAUGGAAAAGGAAGGCCCUUCUCAAGCAGAGGGGAAGCGCACCACCUGCUAAAGAGACCGCAUUCCACGGAAUUCUUCACUAAAGUCCUGAGAUUGGCCUGGGGCAGCCGCGGAAGCGCUUUAGCAGGCAAAUGGAAAAAUGGCCAGUGUUGUGUAAAGAAAACAUGAGUGCACACACAGAGACACCCCCCUCCCCCAGCCUCAUACCCACUCCCUGCUGCAACCCUGGCACUGCUCUCAACGGAUCCCAAGUGUCGGCCCCUCGGCUGGCUGGCUUGCUCAGUCGUCAGAGAAGGGCGCUAAUGGGCCUUAUGGUCCCCGUGGAUUAAGCCCUUGGCCAGAGUUGCAGCCCAGCUACUGUCUGGCAUGCAAAUAAUACCUGAUUGUGAGCAGGCCCGAGAGAUCCAGGCCAUUCCAUGCUAUUGGGUGGGGAGGGAACUGAGUAUUUACUGCCUCCUGGAUAGUUAAGAGACCUCAUUGGAUCAAAACCCCUGUUAAGUGGGUAGGAUUUUAUGGAUGUGGACCUGGAAGCCUGGGGGGCAAAUGAUGUGCCCAAGGCUAUAUAGCUCGUGUGUGGCAGAGCCAGGAUUGGUGUCAUCCAUGCUCUUUGCACUUCACAAGUGGUUUUCAAAUUUAUGAGACCCAAUUUUACAUGGGACUCUCACUCUACGAAUAGAUAAAAGUAUUUUAUUAAUACAUUUUGUGAGUUCAAGUAUCUUUCAAAGCAAGUCAGUGAGAACACUGAAACUGUUUCAGUUAAAUAGAAAGCAUUGCAAAGCUAAGGUUAUGGGUGGCAGUCGAUAUGUACCAAUGCCAGCAUCCAGUUUAUUUCUGUGUUUUGCUUUGCUUGCAUAGAAUAGAGAAAUCUUGACUUAAUCCAGCUAAGAAUUUGCAAACAGCAUCAGUUUUGUUUUAAACAAGCCCUCCUCCCAAUCCCAGAUACUCUUUGGUUACCCAGAUGUGACAAGGACUCUUUAUCCUGAGGUCUACGUGGACAGAACAGCCCUGACAGUGCAGGUUAACACACCAAGGAUCUGUAAAAUCUUAUAUUUGCACCAAUAACACAUUCGCAUGUUAUGUUAUUACUUUCGAAUGUUCAGUUUUUAGAAUAAGCUUAAAGUAUGCAUCCUUAAAGGGAGGUUAGAAUCAAAGCCUUGUGGAGCUCCUUUGCCCCCUGAAACAUCUCAAGAAUUCCAGGUUCCCCAGAAGCCAGUUUGGAAGCUGCUGUCCUCAUCAGCGGCUGCUGCUCGAGGGGCGGGGGUGUUUGGCGGUGUCACCUUUGUACAGGAGAGAGCAGCUUUUCAUCUGAGGUCCACAUCCCUGAACUGUCACCCAAAUCCUGUCCGAGUCACGCUGGAGGCCACCUUCUGGGUUGAGCCUUGCCGCCUUUAGAAAGAGGACAUCAGAGGGCAAGGACCACCCCCGACCCCCCGACCCUGUGCGAGGCAGCUCUUUUCUAAGAACAAAACUAUGCAACCGGAACUGGGGGAGGGGGCUUGGGCAACAUUUGCAAGGAAGCCCAUCCUUCUCUCAAAAUCCCGACAAGCCCCAAAUCUUAACGCCUGAGGCCUCACACGUCUGUCUGUGUACAUGCAAAGCUUCCCAACCUUUUCAGGACUUGAAGCAUAGAAAUGAUGACAUUUGUGCUCCCUUGGCAUCACGCUGGGGCAAACCAGUUGAAGAGGCUGCCGGGGCCAUAUUCAUGGGCCUGGGGACUGUGGCUGCUUCAGGGGACCGCCCCGCCCCCGGCCAACCGGGCUGAGGGGAUCCACGUGGGCAUUUGCUGUGCACUCCGGCCAUGACCCAGCUCUGUAGUUGGGAAGCUCUGAAUUGGAGCAUCAGCGUUGGGUGGUAUGUGGGUUUAUUUGUUUUUAGAGCUUUGUUCAAACUUCCUCAUUUAUCAGUUGGGAAACUGAGACCUCGAGGGUUCCAGUCGUGAGCUUGCCCUUCACUGUGGCGAGGACUGGCAAAGUCCAAGCCACCUCUGUGUAUCCCACUUGCCACUCACCGCUCCACCCUCCCUGGCUGGCCUUCCCUGGAGUCCCACCCCUCCCUUCCUGCCCCCUCCUCCACUCCCACCAAGUUUCUCAGAGCUCGUCCCCUUUUCCGUUCUGCCUGAAGAAGUGAACCAGGGCUUCCAUGCUUUCUUUGAUCUCCCACCACCCUCCCAGGCCCCCGUGCUACUUCUCUUGUGGCCUUCGUUACCAUUUCCAACAAAAGGUUACAGCCAUCACCUCCAGCCCCUAAGUGCAUUCCCUCUUGUUCAGCAUCCAUCUCAACUACCUUCCAGAAACGUCUCUGGAAGGAUGACCUUCUUGCCAUACUUUCAUCCUCUUUGCACUCUCUGUGGAUUUGGUGAGUCCUCCCUGCCCCUGGGAAUGCUCCCUUCACUCCCUCGAUGCCUUGCUUUCCUGCUCCCUUAACGUCUUGGUCUCCGUCACUGAUGCUCUUUUCCUUUUGAACCUUGACUCUGGUCAAGCCCCAAGGUUUUAGGCCUCCUGUGGUUUUCACUCCAGACUCUUUCAGAGGACUUUUCUGCCCAUCACAGGUAAAAACACCAGCUAUGCCUUCUGAGGUUUCUCAGAUUUUUAGCCCUUGUCCGUCCCCUUCAGCUGACCCCAGUCCGCUUGCAGGUCCCAUCAUCGACUUGGGUGGAGCAUCUCCAGGUACACUCGGCUCCCUUCCUGAAAUUCCCCGUCUCUAAAGGGCACCACCUUCCUUUUCCUAGUUCCUCAGUCUCAAGGCCUUAGAGUAAGGCACCCUUGACAACUCUCUUUGUCAACCAAUAUGGUUAGUUAAUCGUAAAACAUUUUCUUAAUGAUUAUACAAACACCAGUCACAGAAACCAAGAGAAAAAUCUAAGUUGCCCCAGCAAAUCAAGGCUCUCAGUCCCAGUCAGGCCUGGCAGGUAGGGUUUCCUCGUGGGGUAGCCCUUCUCCGUGGUUUCCCAGCCGGGCCCACGGAGUUCCUCUUUGCUCUGAGGGCUUCUGCAAAGAAGCUGGCAUAAGGCUCGCUCCACUGACCUCCUCUCAUGACUGCUAACCCCAAUGAUUUUGAGUGUUUCUGCACUGCUGUUUCUAUUUUCUUCACCUUAUAAAAUAUUGCAAUAAUAAUACUCAUUUUUAAAGUACACAGUAUUCAUGUUAAUAAGUUUAAACAAUAUAGAAAUAUAUCAGAAGUGCUACACUCCUCUUCCAGACAUUCUGUCUUACACUGUGGGGGGAGGGCGCUUUGCAAACAAAAUUAAUAUUAAGCAUAUCUGCAUAUUUUUCUACAGCUAAACAAGAAAUCUUGGAUCUCUUUUCCCUCAGCACACAUAGAGCCACUCAUUCUUUUUAAGGCUACAUGGUGUUUUAUAGUUGAGAUAGACCACCGUUUACUUAGCCAGUCUCCUCUCAGUAUACAAAUAGGUUUCUGUUUUUUGGCAGUAAGAAACACAUCGCCAGUGAAAAUCUUCCUGUAAAUAUCUUUGCUUACUUGUGCCCACCUUUUUGUAGGCUACUCUCCUAAAAUCGUUCAGUUCCCAUUUUAAAAGGUUAAAGGGCACGCACAUUUGAAAUGUUGCUAACUCUCGCCAAAGUGUCCUCUGCAGAGAUUAUGCUGCACACUGCCAUCGACCGUGUGUACGUGUGUACCCUCUUCUCCACAUCCUCACUUGCCCUAGAUGUUCUUUCCUGCUUCUUGACUGCGAGGAUGUAGUUGCAGCUCUAUCUGUAGAGACCCAGUAAGCAGAAGUUCCCCCUUUGGCUUUCACUGCACACAGCCAAAUGUGACCCAACCAGUGCUGUGUCUUGCUGCAAGAAAACUUUCUGAGCAAAAGCCCCGUGGCUUCCCUCAUGGUCAGGGCUCCUAGAGGACAUGCUUUGUCGGUUCGCUCAUGAAAGCAGCGGUCGUCCUUUGUAUUUGUAGAGUUUGAUAUUCAGUUGAGCAUCCCUUCUGUUCUUUAUCUCUGCCCUUUCCCCAGACUCCAUCAGCAGACCGGGCUCCCUAUCAUGCACUGUCUUCUGGCAGUGAUGCUAUGGAGAUAACAGCUUAAAUUCUUAGUUUCUGAACUCCUGUAGAGACUUUGUGAUUCUAUAGUAGAGAAGAAAGUCUUGAAAGCCGCGAGAGUUACAAGAAUUGUUGGAAUGGCGUUUUGCUUUGUUUUUGUCCUUUAUUCUAAAAGUUACCCUUUACAUUUUAAGAGCCAAAAUGCUGGAGGACUUUGCACACAGCCAGCACCAUCAGCAGAGGGACAGUGCAUCUUGACAUAAACAUUUUUUUCCAUAGAAAAAAGAGGUGGCGGGGGAGGGGGAAUUUUGACCAGCAGGUAUCAAUAGAAGAGGAAGAACUAGAGGGGAUAUGACUUGGUUUUGAGGCUGGAAGGUCAUGGAGAAGAAAUCCAGAACCCUACCGCUCUGGGCUGAGCCCCAGUAUAAGCAAAACCCCCAUAAGUUUGAGGGAAACCCUGAUCUAGAAACCAUUGCCUGGCUUCCAGCAAUUAACCUGGGAGACUGCAGUCCCCAUAGAGAAGUGAGGUGUUCAACAAGGCACCUGAGGAGGAGAGAGAGUGUCUGAGAGUGUUGUCCGGCCAGGUGGGCCCAAGGGCGGGCACACCUCACAGAGUCCCUCACACCCCAUCAUGGGGAGGUGAUGGCUUUCAAGCUCCCUGAGCUCCCAGAAGUAAUGAAAGGGCCAGCUCAUUGGAAGGGACUUCAGGCUGGGACAACUAGGGUACAGAUCAAGUGGCAUAUGGACAUGAAAAGCAGAGGGUGGGUCUUCCCUGGUGGCACAGUGGUUAAGAAUCUGCCUGCCAAUGCAGGGGACACAGGUUUGAGCCGUGGUCCUGGAGGAUCCCACAUGCCACGGAACAACUAAACCUGUGAGCCACAACUACUGAGCCUGCGCUCUAGACCCCGUGCUCCGCAACGGAAGAAGCCACCGCAAUGAGAAGCCCGCGCACCGCAACGAGGAGUGGAUCCCCGGUCACCGCAACUAGAGAAAGCCCGUGCGUAGCAACCAAGACCCAAUGCAGCCAAAAAUAAAUUAAAUAAAAAAGCAAAACAAAACAAAAAACGACGUUGUAGAGGCACAAAUGCCAACCAGUGCCAUUAAAAAUAAAAAGCAGAGGGUGGCAUUCCUUGGCCAAGCAGAGCAAAUUUCUCCUCCGUAGAGGCCAGAGAGAUAGGAAGAUGACCACAGACCAGGCACUCACCACCGGCCACCCCAUCCUUGCUGCUGUGAUGUUACGGAAGCCUCCCCAGAUGCCACCCAGGCAAAAGGGAAGGAUGAGAGUAGUAUUUACCCAAGAGCCACUAGUCAUUUUCCAGAAGAACUAUACUGUGAGCAAGACACUUCAGUCUAGAGAGAAACGGGGAGUUUACGAGCUAAACUGAGCUCAGUUUAAAAAAAUAAAAAGAGAAUUAACCUUUUGUAUGCCAGAGUACAGUCACAAAACAAUACCCGUGACAAGUGCAAAAGGAAAAGUAACAGCUUGCUCCAGUGUCCUCGCCAUGGCAUUUCCAGGAGCACAGCUGGACUAAACCAGCCACCCUAACUCUUGCUUCCCUCUGUCACCAGUGCAACAUCUUUGCAGGAUGCACGUCCGGGAAUGGAGCUAAUUGACUCCAGAGGCAAUGAACUUGGGGCACUUGUCAAGUCUGCAAUGCUCCCAGCUCGGUGAAUCUAAGCCAGGGGAGAAGGAUGACCAGAUCUUCAGAGACCUCAUGGCAGAGCUUUGGCCAUCAUCUCCUCCUCCCUUCUUUGCUGCCUGUUCCUUAUUUGCUGCUUUAGGAUCAGCACAGGUGUCACUCCCUCCAGAAAUCCUCCCCCAAUCUUCACCUCCCUCUCUCCACCAGGCUGGUGAGGCUCUCUUUGUGCUCUCACACUCUGUCUUGCACAAAGUAGGCCCUUGGUAGGUGCUGAUUGAAUGAAUGGGUCUAGCAGGAGAGCACACACGAACCCCAAAAUCUCUCACCCAGAGCAGGUUUUGGUAAGAGCUCUCAGCCUUGGGAGGAGAGGUGAAAUGGAUUCUGGGGAACAAGAACAGGGUAUCUGCUGAUAAACAGUCUUUCAAGAGGAACACAAAGCCCAGAUUCCUUAAUGUCCGUGUGUGAUGGAAGGCCCCGGCUGCACUCGUAUUAACUGCUCUUUUUAUUACAAGCGUGGAGAAUAGGUAGGCAUUGUGCCCUGUCUUGGGGUUUGUAAGAUGAUGAUAUCUGACAUUCCAGAAGCUUCUGCUUCCAACACAGCCUGCUAACAGCAGAAGGUCCUUUCUCAGAUGGCAGACAGGCUUGAUGCUAAAAAAGGCAUCCCUGGAAAUAGCAGAGUCUACCUUUCAGUCUUUGAAAAGCAAGGUGUUGAGAUGGGAGUUGGGUGAUAUUUGAUGGGUGUCUGAUGGGGCAGGGGGCCCAGCUGGGACUGAAGUCGAGUAUCCCUGUCAUUCUCAGGUCCAGACGUGCUCUUUGCACGCAGGACCUGGAAGCCUCUUAGAGAAAUCCCAAGAGAACGGCCCAGAAGGGUAAGCCUGGCUCAGGGGAGAGGGAUUUGGAAUUCAAAGGGGUUUUUUGCUUGCUUGUUUUAUUAUUUGUCUCUUGGCCCAGCCCUGCAUGGUUCAAGGUGAAUCCUAGGGCGGGAAGCAGGCAUAAAGGAAGCCGCACUGCAUCAGGACCACCCUGUAAACGCAACCAGAAGGGGCGAGAGGCACUUAGCUGCGGACCACAGCACAGCUCCAGCACCUCCAAGCUCUGUGGCCCUCCCCCCGCACCAGCACCGGCAACGGCACCCGGGGCUUUGGUACCCAUAGCGGUGGCGUGGCUGCAGCCCCUCUCUAAGUGCCUGGUGGAGCUGGUGGUGGUCUCUGCAAGGGCAGCCUGUUGGAGGGCCGCCGUGUGGGUCACUGUCACCCAACUUAGCAGAACCAAAGGCUGGGGCAGUGGGUGCAGGAAAAGGAAAAGAAAAUUAAUGGCAGGCAUCCUCUGCAUAUAACCAGAUUUAUUUAUGAGCAUAUGAGAGGCAGAGACUUCCAGAAAUACUUGUCAUUGGUUGGGGUCAUCCUGCAGAAGUACAAGGCAAGAGUCAAUAAAAUUCCAGUUAACCCCCAGCUGAUGCGACCUGGGAAAACAUGAGACUCAUGGAAUUUUUCAUUGGUACCUCUUCUCUCACCUCAAGUUCCUACCCCACCCCUGGCUAAUUUUCCUCAAAACUGAAAAGCAUUUCUUCAAAGGCAUGUAAAUGUCUUCGGCAAGUCUCAGGAGCUCCCAACAGUACAAAGCUGCAAACCACAGCCGCCUCCCGCUGCGGGGUAUUCUGCUUUGAAUUUGAGGGAGGAGAGGAAUGCACUUAGGGACACCGGCUCCAGGAGGACAGCAGAGCCAAUUGGCCGCCCCCAGGCUCCCACUCUCCACCCUUUCCCACGCAGCCUACAGACCGAAAUCCCCCGAGGGUCCUGGAGGCUGCCUUUGGAGAGUGGCUGUGCAGACUGGCCAACUGUUGCCUGCACACCCUUCUAUCACGCCCUUCAACCAAGGAGCCAAGGGUCUUAACUUCAGUUGCUCAACUAAGGGCUAUUUUUCUGGGCUGCAAGUCCUUGUCUGGUGUGAAUACGCAGAACGGAGCCAGGAGUGCAAGUGUAUUGAUGUCGUUCCAACGAGGCCGUGAGCCCCAGCUCUUUGCAAAAUCCCAUCUGGGUUUUAUUUUGCAGAUGCCACGGCCCUUUUUCUGUGUAACUAGGGAGCGUUUGGGAGAACAGCUCUCAGCUUACACAUAGGAGGCCCCAAGGGUGGAGCCUGUAUUUGGGGUCCUCAGGUUCCCCACACAGGGGUCACUGGCCUGACUCCACCACAAGCUUCAUUCGGUGUCUGGGUGAGCGUCGCCACUGAGGCUGGGCCAGAUCCCACCUCUCCACCUGACCUGGUGGUCUCCCAGGUGAGAGGUCAGAAAAGGAGCCUGGGUGCUUCCCUGGUGGUGCAGUGGUUAAGAAUCUGCCUGCCAGUGCAUGGGACAGGGGUUCAAGCCCUGGUCCAGGAAGAUCCCACAUGCCGCAGAGCAGCUAAGCCCAUGCGCCACGACUACUGAGCCUGCGCUCUAGAGCCUGCAAGCCACAACUACUGAGCCCGUGUGCCACAACUACUGAAGCCCGCGUGCUUAGAGCCCGUGCUCCGCAACAAGAGAAGCCACUGCAAUGAGAAGCCCGUGCACCGCAACUGAGAGUAGCCCCUGCUCACUGCAACUAGAGAAAGCCCACGCAUAGCAACAAAGACCCAACCCAGCCAAAAAUAAAUAAAUAAAUUUUACAAAUAAAUAAAUA
This is an RNA transcript of Orcinus orca (killer whale), 13326 nucleotides long. It is a transcript of the gene named VPS53 subunit of GARP complex, with no coding region annotated. The transcript has 26 exons. NCBI's taxonomy places the organism in Eukaryota, Metazoa, Chordata, Mammalia, Artiodactyla, Delphinidae. The record is from RefSeq and is a predicted model, not a curated record.